This 96-nucleotide ribosomal RNA is filed under the name Acanthosepion pharaonis. Lineage: Eukaryota; Metazoa; Mollusca; Cephalopoda; Sepiida; Sepiidae. The record is from RNAcentral.
AAAACAACGAUUCCCUUACAAUCACCGAAGUUAAGCAACGUCGUGCCUUGUCAGUAUCUAGAUGGGUGACCGCUUGGGAAUACCAGGUGCUGUAAG